RNAcentral lists this ribosomal RNA (621 nucleotides) under uncultured delta proteobacterium. RNAcentral's name for it is "bacterial SSU rRNA". It matches the Rfam family "Bacterial small subunit ribosomal RNA", at positions 828 to 1440 of the family's 1533-position model. Lineage: Bacteria; Deltaproteobacteria. The record is from RNAcentral.
GGGUAUUAACCCCUGCUGUGCCGAAGUUAACGCAUUAAGUUCUCCGCCUGGGGAGUACGGCCGCAAGGCUAAAACUCAAAGGAAUUGACGGGGGCCCGCACAAGCGGUGGAGCAUGUGGUUUAAUUCGACGCAACGCGAAGAACCUUACCUGGGUUUGACAUCCUCUGAUCGUCUGGGAAACCAGAUUUUUCCGGCUUUUGUCGGAACAGAGUGACAGGUGCUGCAUGACUGUCGUCAACUCGUGUCGUGAGAUGUUGGGUUAAGUCCCGCAACGAGCGUAACCCUUGUCUUUAGUUGCCAUUAUUAAGUUAGGCACUCUAAAGAGACUGCCUCGGUUAACGGGGAGGAAGGUGGGGAUGACGUCAAGUCCUCAUGGCCUUUAUAUCCAGGGCUACACACGUGCUACAAUGGGCUGUACAAAGGGUUGCUAUCCCGCGAGGGGGCGCUAAUCCCAAAAAGCAGUUCUCAGUUCGGAUUGAAGUCUGCAACUCGACUUCAUGAAGGUGGAAUCGCUAGUAAUCGUGGAUCAGCAUGCCACGGUGUAUACGUUCCCGGGCCUUGUACACACCGCCCGUCACACCACGAAAGUCGACUGUACCAGUAAGUUGCUUGGGCUAACC